CCUACGGGAGGCAGCAGUGAGGAAUAUUGGUCAAUGGUCGGGAGACUGAACCAGCCAAGCCGCGUGAGGGAGGAAGGUACAGAGUAUCGUAAACCUCUUUUGUCAGGGAACAAAGACUGGGACGCGUCCCCGGAUGAGUGUACCUGACGAAAAAGCAUCGGCUAACUCCGUGCCAGCAGCCGCGGUAAUACGGAGGAUGCGAGCGUUAUCCGGAUUUAUUGGGUUAAAGGGGUGCGCAGCCGGUCUGUUAAGUCAGCGGUAAAAGCCCGGGGCUCAACCCGGGCCCGCCGUUGAAACUGGCAGUCGCGAGUGGGAGAGAGGUAUGCGGAAUGCGCGGUGUAGCGGUGAAAUGCAUAGAUAUCGCGCAGAACUCCGAUUGCGAAGGCAGCAUGCCGGCUCCACACUGACGCUGAGGCACGAAAGCGUGGGUAUCGAACAGGAUUAGAUACCCUGGUAGUC
Molecule: ribosomal RNA, 459 nt
Filed under: uncultured bacterium
Lineage: Bacteria
Description: partial 16S ribosomal RNA
Rfam family: Bacterial small subunit ribosomal RNA
Source: RNAcentral